GUGUAGAGCUUAAAAUUAUGCUCAAUGUCACACUUACUGGAACAACUCAGUAUGCUGAGAUUGUCUCAUUUCAUUAGACAUGAUUUCAUCUUUUUUUUCAAUUUUUUUAAUGACAGUAGCCUGAUGCAUAGAUCUUUAAAAGGUCUGCAGAAACCAGAAGAUGAAAUGUAGAGUGAUUCAUCUGAACACUGAUUCAGUCCAAAAACUGAACAAUAGAUUUCACAACUGUCAGUGCUGAGUGGAGUUCCUUGUCUGCUUCUACACUACAAGCCUUCAGUCACCCUUGGAGGAAGCUCAUUUCUACUUCUGAACAAGGGUAUUUUGUUCACGGCACCACAGGCAAGUAUCUAGAAGUAUAUCUAUGCUAGGAAGCGAAGAACUUCAUGCUAAUUGAUUUUUAUGACUCACAUUUGCCAUUCCAGUAUAGCCAUAAUGCUGAUAUAAUAUUUCUGGACAUUUUUAGUUCUUCCAGGAAGUGUUUAGGAAGAGGAGAGCUUGAAUGGCUGCCGGCUUGGUCUGCAGAUGUGUAGUUCUUCCUGGGUUGGAUUUGCAGGGUUCAUGUAAGCAUGAACUCAGACCCUCUGCAAAGGUAGAGGUGAUAUUUAGGCUGCAUUCUGCUGACGUGUUCCUGAGCUUGAUGAAGAGUUACCUUUUUUGACCUGGGAAGAUUGGAAAAGAAAUCUGGAAUUGCAGGAUGUGGAUUUGGCUUCAGUCUUUACCUUGAUGAUUUCAGAAUAAUCUUUGACAUUCAGAAUUAAUCAGUCCUUGGCUACUUCUGGAGAAAACCCCAAGCCAUCAUGGGCUCAGGAUGUGGCCUAACUCCCCAUGUGCAGCAUGGUUCUGGACUACACAAGGUGCAGGCUGUGGUACCAAAUAAGCUGUCCUCAUUCGGCAGGCUGAGCUGCUCUCAGAGGACUUCAUGGCCUUGUAUCACACCCAGAAUGAGGAGCGGGCACCAAAUAAUAAACAAAAAUAUGCUGUCAUCCUCAACCUCUUGUGGGAUGGAGGAGAAGUCUGACAACUUAACUUGGCUUUGCUAUCCCUCAUGGGCAAACGUGCUUCCUUUCCUUCCUGUGAUGCAUUGCAAGCGUAAUGUGUCUUGUCCUGCUGCCAAUACCACCACAAUAGAUUACAGUGCUUCUCUGAGCAGAGAUACUGGUUUGAAACACUGGAUGUGCAGCUUCAGACACACCUAACUGCCUCUCUGUCACUGAGUUCCCACCUGUGCUCUGGUUACUCCUGCAACUGUUCCAUGGCUACAUCAUAAAUUAGAGCAAGAACAUGAUCUGAAUGAAGUACAUGGUUUUAAUUAAUUACUGAUUUGCACCGUGGCAUCACAACGUGUGGCAUCAGUGAGAGUGAGAUAGAAAUGAGGAUGAAGUGGGAGCAGUGUGGAAGAGUAGGAUCUUCUUAAACUAACUCUGGCAUCAUCCUGGUGUGCCCAGGCCUGGCAUUAAUAACUCAUAGCAUAUGAACUAGAUGCGUAACUUGUCAUUCACUGCUUCAUCUGGUUUUCUAUUUUAUUGGUCCACGUAGCUCAGAGUGAAAAAAAUGAGCAAUUUGUCUGUAAAUGCCAUUUAACAUACCAUGACUUAUGUCUUUGAGUUAGUUUUAACAGCCUGAUGGAGAAAGCGGUAGGAAAGCUAGAGUGAGAAAGGUAUAAAAACAGCAACACUAACAGAAGGGGAGGAACUGCCUCAGAAAAAUAAGGUAUGUGGAUGGCUGAAUCUCAAAAGGAGUCUAGACUUAUUGUCUAGCAGGAUAAAUAUGAGGAAAAACAACAUGUGAGAUACAAUAAAAAAAAAAAAACAACAAUGACGGUAAAACA
This 1828-nucleotide long non-coding RNA is filed under the name Phasianus colchicus (ring-necked pheasant). RNAcentral's name for it is "lncRNA (ENSPCLG00000005710.1)". Lineage: Eukaryota; Metazoa; Chordata; Aves; Galliformes; Phasianidae. The record is from RNAcentral.